RNAcentral lists this unclassified non-coding RNA (236 nucleotides) under Hevea brasiliensis (rubber tree). Lineage: Eukaryota; Viridiplantae; Streptophyta; Magnoliopsida; Malpighiales; Euphorbiaceae. The record is from RNAcentral.
GGGCAAUUAUCAUUGGGAAAUGUUUGAGCUCCAUUUAUGUGGUUUGCAAACUCCUCCAAGCUAGGAGUAAGAAUAGGCUGCAAAAGAGGACCAAUGACAACGCCUGGAUGUAUUGUAACCAAGUCAAUUCCGUUCUCCCUUGCAAAUCUCCAACCAGCCUCCUCAGCAAGGAUUUUUGAAACAGCAUACCAAAGCUGCAAAGAACCAAAAAUCGAUUGACCAAUAAAUAAAACUUA